AUACGUAGGGGGCAAGCGUUAUCCGGAUUUACUGGGUGUAAAGGGAGCGUAGACGGUUUGGCAAGUCUGAUGUGAAAGCCCGGGGCUCAACCGCGGGACUGCAUUGGAAACUGUCAGACUUGAGUGCAGGAGAGGUAAGUGGAAUUCCUAGUGUAGCGGUGAAAUGCGUAGAUAUUAGGAGGAACACCAGUGGCGAAGGCGGCUUACUGGGCUUUAACUGACGCUGAGGCCCGAAAGCGUGGGUAGCAAACAGGAUUAGAUACCCUGGUAGUCCACGCUGUAAACGAUGAGCACUAAGUGUCGGAUGAAUUUUCGGCGCUGCAGUUAACACAAUAAGUGCUCCGCCUGGGGAGUACGGUCGCAAGACUGAAACUUAAAGGAAUUGACGGGG
This 391-nucleotide ribosomal RNA is filed under the name uncultured bacterium. Its description in RNAcentral is "partial 16S ribosomal RNA". It matches the Rfam family "Bacterial small subunit ribosomal RNA", at positions 523 to 918 of the family's 1533-position model. The record is from RNAcentral.